Equus caballus (horse) is the source of this 812-nucleotide non-coding RNA. The record is from RefSeq and is a predicted model, not a curated record. Lineage: Eukaryota; Metazoa; Chordata; Mammalia; Perissodactyla; Equidae.
GCUACAAUGGGGCUUGAUGAUUAGUCAUCUCAACAUCAUCACUUCAUCCCUUAAAACACUGUGCUGUCUCCUAGAGGACUUCCACACAGAACCCCUCCACCUAAGGGACUCGUCUUUACAUCCUGAUUCUCAGGGUCUUGGAGCCACUGCUACCUUUAGGCAACUCUCCUUCUCUCACCCCAGCACUUGUGUCAACCCCUAUCUCCUCUCUCCUUGGAGCAGCCAGCUAAAGUCUCCUUCCACAUGAGGGUCUGGACAGGACUGUACAACAGAGUCCUGCUUUCCCAUAGGAACUGGAAUCUGGGAAAAAGGAAAACAGUACUAGAAGCAGAACAAGAGUGUGGGAUCACUCCUGGGUGGUACUGUCACCUCAUUUGGACAGUUCACUGCCUAGAUGUGCUGAGUGUGCAAAUUCUGUCUCGUUGCCUCAUCCAGUGUUUCUCUGAAUAGAAGCAAAUAUCUGGGCACCAGACUCUCUCCUGGCUUUGAUGAAGCAAGCUGCCAUGUUGGAGAGGCCUACAUGACAAGGAACUGAAGGUUGCCUCCAGCCAACUCCAGCCAACAGCCAUCCAGGAAUUGAGGCUCUCAGUCCAACAGGCCUUGAGGAACUGCAUCCAGCCAGCAACUGUAGAAGUGAGCAAAGAAGUGUGUAUUUCCCCAGUCAAGCCUUCAGCUGAGACCCCAGCCCCAGCUGACACCUUAAUUGCAGCCUUGUGAGAGACCUUGGAGCAGAGAACCCAGGUAGGCCUUGCCUACAUUCCUCACCAACAGAAACUAUGAAUUAAUAAAUACUUGGUUUUUUAAGCCACUAA